RNAcentral lists this ribosomal RNA (743 nucleotides) under uncultured bacterium. RNAcentral describes it as "bacterial SSU rRNA". It matches the Rfam family "Bacterial small subunit ribosomal RNA", at positions 94 to 823 of the family's 1533-position model. The record is from RNAcentral.
AGCGGCGGAUGGGUGAGUAACACGUGGGGAACCUGCCCCUAAGUCUGGGAUACCAUUUGGAAACAGGUGCUAAUACCGGAUAAUAAAGCAGAUCGCAUGAUCAGCUUUUGAAAGGCGGCGUAAGCUGUCGCUAAGGGAUGGCCCCGCGGUGCAUUAGCUAGUUGGUAAGGUAACGGCUUACCAAGGCGACGAUGCAUAGCCGAGUUGAGAGACUGAUCGGCCACAUUGGGACUGAGACACGGCCCAAACUCCUACGGGAGGCAGCAGUAGGGAAUCUUCCACAAUGGACGCAAGUCUGAUGGAGCAACGCCGCGUGAGUGAAGAAGGUUUUCGGAUCGUAAAGCUCUGUUGUUGGUGAAGAAGGAUAGAGGUAGUAACUGGCCUUUAUUUGACGGUAAUCAACCAGAAAGUCACGGCUAACUACGUGCCAGCAGCCGCGGUAAUACGUAGGUGGCAAGCGUUGUCCGGAUUUAUUGGGCGUAAAGCGAGCGCAGGCGGAAAAAUAAGUCUAAUGUGAAAGCCCUCGGCUUAACCGAGGAACUGCAUCGGAAACUGUUUUUCUUGAGUGCAGAAGAGGAGAGUGGAACUCCAUGUGUAGCGGUGGAAUGCGUAGAUAUAUGGAAGAACACCAGUGGCGAGGGCGGCUCUCUGGUCUGCAACUGACGCUGAGACUCGAAAGCAUGGGUAGCGAACAGGAUUAGAUACCCUGGUGGUCCAUGCCGUAAACGAUGAGUGCUAAGUGU